This 68-nucleotide transfer RNA is filed under the name Tenacibaculum gallaicum. RNAcentral describes it as "tRNA-Met". It matches the Rfam family "tRNA". From Rfam's summary of the family: Transfer RNA (tRNA) molecules are approximately 80 nucleotides in length. Their secondary structure includes four short double-helical elements and three loops (D, anti-codon, and T loops). The record is from RNAcentral. RNAcentral also lists the same sequence under 2 other names. Lineage: Bacteria; Pseudomonadati; Bacteroidota; Flavobacteriia; Flavobacteriales; Flavobacteriaceae.
AGCGAGAAAAUUGGCAUUCCUUCGAACUCAUAACCCGAAGGUCACUGGUUCGAGUCCAGUUCCCGCUA